GUUAGGUGUCUCUAUACAUCAGAGUCUAAGGAAAUAUAAAAAAGAAAACAACAUAGGAGGGAAUAAAGGGGGACUCCGAGGUUUGCGGACGCUGGCAGAUAUACCUUGAAGUCACCGUAGCAGCAGCAAGUACACUCAGCUAAUAGCGGGGCUGGUAGGAGGUACCUGGGUCUGCACACAAAACAUAUACAGAAGAGUAGCAUGAGUACACCACAACGGUACCUAGUAAAUACCAAGCCUAACCUCGGUAGGGUAGUGACGAGGUCAGGUCAGGUCCCUACUGGGAUAUAAUUAUAAGACAGAAGAUAUAACUACAUGAUGAAAGAUUGAGAAUUUAACAAAGAGAAUUUAUAGAAAAGUAACAACAUAACACAUAGAGGUAAACAACAGGGGCGCUCUUGAGAUACCGUCUCGUAGUCCCAAAAGUAAAUACUCAACAGGGGAUCUCCCGAGGUACCGACUCGUAGUCCCAAAAGUAAAUAUGCAAGGGGAUCUCCCGAGGUACCGCCUCGUAGUCCCAAAAGUAAAUAUACAAGAGGAUCUCCCGAGGUACCGCCUCGUAGUCCCAAAAGUAAAUAUACAAGAGGAUCUCCCGAGGUACUGCCUCAUAGUCCCAAAAGUAAACACACAGCUCUAAACCGAUGGAAACAACAAUUAACAACAAGAAUCCUAUAGUUUAAGACUAAUACAAAUCAAGGAAAGUCAGGAAUUCAACUAAGCAUGCUGCACAGAUUUAAAAUAAGUAUUUAAGACACGUAGACAUGCGAUAUUAGGCUAAACAAGAUAACUACACAUGCUGGGAUGACUCAUUUAAGAUGUAACAGGUUAUUGUUAAUUAAAAAUUGAAUUUUCAAUAAUUAGCCCGUAUACGCACUCGACACCUCGCGUACAAGGCACUCACAUAUCACAGAAUUUCCACAAUAGUAUCAAGACCUAAAGGGGUUUCCCCCACACAAAGUUAGGCAAGCCACUUACCUCGAACCAACCUCAAUCAAUCAGUAAGAAUGCCUUCUCCACGACUUUCCGACCCCGGAUGGCCCA
RNAcentral lists this long non-coding RNA (1041 nucleotides) under Nicotiana tabacum (common tobacco). RNAcentral describes it as "long non-coding RNA (NTAB_LNC008509)". Lineage: Eukaryota; Viridiplantae; Streptophyta; Magnoliopsida; Solanales; Solanaceae. The record is from RNAcentral.